CACAUGCAAGUUGAACGAUGAAGCUAGAGCUUGCUCUGGUGAAUUAGUGGCGAACCGGGUGAGUAACACGUGAGUAACCUGCCCCGAACUCUGGGAUAACUGCUGAAACGGUAGCUAAUACUGGAUACGACCUACGAAGGCAUCUUCUGUAGGUGGAAAGAAUUUCGGUUCGGGAUGGACUCGCGGCCUAUCAGCUUGUUGGGUGAGGUAAUGGCUCACCAAGGCGACACGGGUAGCCGGCCUGAGAGGGUGACCGGCCACACUGGGACUGGGACACGGCCCAGACUCCUACGGGAGGCAGCAGUGGGGAAUAUUGCACAAUGGGCGCAAGCCUGAUGCAGCAACGCCGCGUGAGGGAUGACGGCCUUCGGGUUGUAAACCUCUUUUAGUAGGGAAGAAGCGAAAGUGACGGUACCUGCAGAAAAAGCACCGGCUAACUACGUG
RNAcentral lists this ribosomal RNA (444 nucleotides) under uncultured bacterium. Its description in RNAcentral is "bacterial SSU rRNA". It matches the Rfam family "Bacterial small subunit ribosomal RNA", at positions 52 to 507 of the family's 1533-position model. The record is from RNAcentral.